Molecule: ribosomal RNA, 253 nt
Filed under: uncultured bacterium
Lineage: Bacteria
Description: partial 16S ribosomal RNA
Rfam family: Bacterial small subunit ribosomal RNA
Source: RNAcentral
UACGUAGGUCCCGAGCGUUGUCCGGAUUUAUUGGGCGUAAAGGGAACGCAGGCGGUCUUUUAAGUCUGAUGUGAAAGCCUUCGGCUUAACCGGAGUAGUGCAUUGGAAACUGGGAGACUUGAGUGCAGAAGAGGAGAGUGGAACUCCAUGUGUAGCGGUGAAAUGCGUAGAUAUAUGGAAGAACACCAGUGGCGAAAGCGGCUCUCUGGUCUGUAGCUGACGCUGAGGUUCGAAAGCGUGGGUAGCAAACAGG